AUUCUCUCUCUCUCUUUCUCUCUCUCUCCCUCCCUCUCCCUGCCCCUCCCCUGCUUGUGCUGUCUCUCUCUCUGUCUCUGUCUCUCAAAAAUAAACUUAAAAAAAAAUUUUAAAGAUAAAAUUAAAAUGCCUCAGUGACAGAAGCACCAUCAACAGCAGAAGCAAAUAUUUACUGAAUUUGAUCAAAGUGCCCAAACUGAGGAAAUGUGAACACUGGGAAAGAAGGUUCUAGUUCAAACUUCCUAGACUUUUUUUUUUUUUUUUUAAGAAAACAGACAUCUCCAAAGAGACUUUUAUGUUCUAAGGGACAAACAAAAUCGUAGUAAAUUAAAUGUGUACUGUUUAUUUCAGCUGGCACAUUAACUAUAUAAUGUGAUGUCUCCAAGCAAGGUGGUUGGCUCUCUUUACAUGCUAGAAUAAUUAAUGAUUUAUGUACCUGACCAUCUUUUCAUAAUCCUUUACACAAGCAUGUGUAUUUAUGACUGUUUUAGAAAACUUUGAGGAUAAUUUUACUAUUGAAAGGGAUUAUAAAUUUUUUGCCAUUGUGACUGUGCUUGUUUAAGCAUAUCUAAAAUUCUUCUGAAGUCAAAUACUUUUUCAGCUAGAACAGUGAGGCAUUGUGGCAAAAUAGGCUGGGGGGCUUGCCAGGUUUAUUUGCUAAAAAUGGGACAUGUGUUUAUUUGGUCCCUCAAGGUUGGAACUCAGAAAUCACCUUAUCCAGUGAUUAUCAACAGGGGCACUGAUGCCAUAUUGAGUGUGAUCAUUUUCCAUUGUUUAGGACUAUCUUGAGCAUUGUCAGGGGAUUUAGUACCCCAGGCCCACCUGCACCAAAUGCCACUUGAAUCAUCUAGAAAUUUGGACAACACACGCCCACAAUGGGGUGUGCCAUGGGGGACUGCCCUUGGGUGAGAAACACUGAUCAAUCCAAUGACCCAUGAAUGGGCUGCACAGGUCCCCUUCCACCAUCCUCUAAAGAUAACAGGUCAGCCCGGCUUUUCUGCCAUGCACCCACACCUCCAGUGAUGAAGAAAUCACCACCUCCUAAAGCCACAUUUGAACUCUACUCAUUAUUAAAAUGCUAUUUUUUGUGACAUAACUCCCCCCCCCCCCCCAUUUCCAUCAUUAGCCUUUGGUCUGUAACACAGACCUCUUUGUUUCUCAUCCUCUUCCACAUGAAUGCCCUUCAGUCUUUGAGAGUAGCCAUUGUGUUCCUGCUGUCCCAUGACAACCUCCCACCCCUCCUGGAAACUUACUGUGUCAUUGUACAUAGUUUUGCACUUCAUGGCAAAGCACUUUUUGUAUUACCUCAUUUAAUUUUCACACCAUGAUGUAGGGGUGAUCAUUUCCUCUUCACAGGGAAUGAAAUGGAGUUUCAGACCCAAUGACUGACCCAAGGCUGCACUGUUGGUCACUGGUCAAGCAGGAACAUGAAUCUAGUUCUUAUGCAAAUUCAGUACCUGUCACACUUCUCCCAGUGUUCACUAAAUUUUGUCCAGUCUCUCCCUUUCCAAUGCCUUCUUUCUUUCCAUCUCCACCUCUGCUUGUCUCCCAUCAUAGAAGGCAUGAUGGCCCCAAUUUUUUACCCUUUUUGUAUUUGCAUCCUUUACCAUAUUGCUUUGCAUUUCUUCCUAGCAACAGGUGGAAUAUAUUUCUCAGCUCUUGAUUUUGGGUUCAAUAGAAUGAAGUGAAAAUGUCAUUAUACCAGUUCUGAUAUUAGGCCUCAAGAAGCCUUGUAUGUUCCCACUUGUUCUUUUGCAUUUCUGCCUUCAUUAGACACAAGGAGCAGAGCCGCCUCAGCUGUCCUAUUUAGAUUAGGUGACCCCCAGCCAACCCAGAGACUUGCAAGAAAAAAACAAUUGGUUUUAUUUAACUUAUUGAGUUUGGAAUUAUUUGUUAUGCAGCGGUUGCUAACUGAUACAUUUCUUCAACCUUCAGAAAACAAAGACUUCCCUUUACCCACUGUUUUUCUUUCCCUCAUUACUUGAAAGCCUGUACUAGCUUUCUUAACAUCUUCAUCUUUUGUUUCACAAACCACUGCUACCUUCUGCUCCACUCUCCCUGUGAGAAGGGGCCCCCAACUUCUAAUGGCCAAACACUACAUGGUCCUGACAGCCUUUAGCGCCUUGAAUCAUCCUGCCCUUCUGUAACUCCUUCUUUGGUUUUCAUGACACUUCCUGUGUUUCUCAUCUCUCUUUUCUCCUGUCAGGAGUCUCCUCUCUGCCCUUGUUGCCUCUUGCUUUCCUUCUCUCUCCCCAGGGACCCUAGCCUCUCUCAUGACUUCAAGGACCACAAAAGUAUCAACAGCUGUUUGUAACCCCAUGUCUCUUCAACAUUCCAGCUGUGUGUGCAUGUCUGUUUCACAGCUCCUGCAGGGGGUACUGAUGGUUUCACACAGGAAAUGAUUGCAGGUGGAGUGGAGGAGGAGUGGCAUAGGAAGAGAUCAGUGGUCAGGACUCCAGACCAGAAGGUACUGCAAGAAUCCAGGCAAGAGGUGAUGUGGCCAGGCUCAGAUGUCAGAGUCACCAGAAACCCUUGAUUGAGCACCUGUGCUUCCUCCUGCAAAGCUGCAGUUUUGUUUUUGGACUCAGGUACAGGACUUCACAUUUAUCCUUCUUAAAUCUAUUCAUGGUUAGCUUUGGCCCAGUACUGCAACCUGUCACACUCCUUGUUAAUUCUAUUAUACCCACUUAAUUAGGCAUCCCUCCUGGACCGAUGUCAAUCAGUCAUUUGGUCAAUGUGUUACUUGUAUCCCACUCAAGGCACAGAUAACACUGAAAAGAAAGGUUCUGGCAGGAAGAAUACAGCAAUACCUGUUAUUUGUUUUAGCUACCAAAUGGCUGCAUGACCCAGAAAUUGAUGCAGGUGUGGCUGGUAAGUGAAACUAGAAUUUGAGUAUUAUUGGAUGUUUGGGGAUUUGGAAUUGGGGGGUGGGGCAGAGGAAUAUGGAGGGGACAUGGAAGGACAGCAUGACUCACUGGAACUGUAUAUGGUUGUAGCAUCAGCCAGCAAGGAGUAGGAGGUUGGCAGGGGAGAAGGACACCAAGAAGUGCUUUUGGAACACUUCUGUGGUGCAAUAGGGAGCCAUAGAAGGUUGUAACAGGACAGAAUCAUAUUUGUACCCUUAAACAAUCACUCCAGCAUCAGUGUGGAGAAUUCAUCCGUGUGGAGUGAUGGCUGGUGGUUGGAUCAAAAUGAGAAACUAUGAGGAUAUGAGCAAAGGUGACAUUUGUAGGGAAUGAGAAGAGGGGAGAGAGAAUGUGACUGAAUUGAGCAGAAAGAGGGCAGAGUUGCAGGGAGUUAGCAGGAUCAGCCUAGAGGUGGUGCCACAGGAAGUAAUAGGGGAAAGACACAAGUGAAAUUAUGAUUCAUAAAGGAUGAAUCAGUCUUUCAUUCAAAAAUACUGAUUGAAAAAAUGUACAUAUCAAGUCAGCACUUUCUACGUUCCAGUCACUGAGCUAGACUCCAAGGAUGUGUCUGUGAAGAAGACAGACAUUGCCUGGCUCCAGGAGGUCUGCAACCUGGUGUGGGAGGCUCCUGGUGUGCUUGGGGAAGACCCAGGCAGAUAUUUAAGCUGGGGGUUUGAAGGAUGGGGUCAAGAGGCAGCCAGACAGAGUAUAUGCUGGAGAAUAGCUCCAGGCGAAAGUGACAGCCUAGAAGGGGAAAGCCCAGGGCAGGAACUGACGAGAAGCAGGGUUUGCUGGGACCUCCUGGGAGCCAGACCAGGCACCUGGUGCUUGGAGGACAGUGGCAAGGGCUUGGGUGUGCUUCUGAGUGUCCAUGGAAGCCAUCGGAGGUUAUGGGGCAGGGGAGGGCCGGGGCCAGUCUGAACUAUGAGAAGUUCCCCUGGGAAGUGCGCGGAGAGCUGGGGCCCCCGCAGGAAAGUCCCCCCCACACACACACCACAGCAGCAGCAGCAGCAGCAGCAGCAGCUGCGGUCAGGGGCAGGGCCAUGGCGUGGCCGCAGAGAAGCACUCAGGCCGGGCAAGUGAUUGGGGAGUAGAAAUAUGGAGGGAUGGACUGGGGGUGAGAGGACGGAGAGGAGUCACUCAGGACCUGGUAGGCUGCUGGUGUGAGCAAGUGGGGCGUGGCAGGACCUGGUAGGCUGCUGGUGUGAGCAAGUGGGGCGUCGAGGGGGGCGCUCGGGAAGUCACCGGCUCUGCCUCGGGGUCCUAGUGCCCAUCCAGAAGAAGGAAAGCUUAGCCGCUUGGAGAUCAGACAAGGGGUCUGGGUCCGCAGUGAUGGGGGUCACGGGCAUGCACAUGGGGGUGUAGAGGUAGAAGAGGGUAUAUGGGGCCAUUCAGGAGAGGAGUGGUCAGAGAGGAGGGGUGGAGGGACAGUGGUCACAGUCUCCCCUGACCUGGAGCGUGGAGGGAGAGAAGGGCUGACAGUGGAGAGGGUUCUGGCCGCCGGUCAGGCACUGUGCCUGACCGUGAAUGAAUUCCACCGCCAGCAGCCUCGGCGCAUCCUGGAUGGCCCUUCUGUGGUGAAUUGACUCUCACAGACUCCUCUCCUUGGCACUGUUGGGGGCUGCAGAGAGGAGCUCUGAGGAGAGGGCAGCAUCCAGCCUGGGGAGGAGCCGCAGGGACACUGGGGCAUCGUCUCCAGCGAGGUGGCCCAUCAGCUCCUCACUGGCUUCCCGCAGGCAGCUCACACCAGAUCCCAGCUCCUCUCCAUGAGGCCAGGGCCAGAUCCUGAGCCUUUCCUGACAGCGAUGUUGGGUGAAGUCCUGCAUGCCCUCCUUGCCCUGGCUCUCUCCUCCAGGCGCUGGUUUCCUGGUGGCUCAGGCUGUGUGCCACUCGAGGACACAGAUGGGCACAGCCAACUGUCAACUGAAAACCGCCAGUCUGCUUGGAAAUGUCCCCUAUCAAGGUGAAGGGCAGCCUGGUGCUGCCAGAGGCCACCAGGUGGCUGCGGGCAUGCCCUCCUCCUUCCUCCCACACCCCAGGCAGCACAGAGUCUCAUUUACACAGAUGGGCCAGGUCACGGCCCUGUGAAUGCCAUGCAUCGCCCCCAGAAAACGGCAGAGGCUUCUUCCCCCACAGCAGGAACAGCAGUCUGCAGUUAGGGCCUCGCCUCUGUUCCUGAAGCUGGCGUCUGGACCAGGGCCUCUCCAGGAUGGGGCUGGGGAAAGAGCCAGGCCUAGCUGGGAGGUCAACCACCUUUUGUCCCGAUGGCACUUUUUCAAAGGUAUGUCAGCCUGGUCUUUAAUGGAAAUACCAAGCCUCUUAGUGAGCAGCUCUGGCCCACAGAGCUUACUUACUGCAUGAGACACAGACUCGGAUCGAUGUCGCCAUGACUGGGUCUGGUGGACACCUAGAAAGAACCUGGGGCCGUCAGGGAGGAAGGAGUACAGACCCAGCAGCCCUCAACCCUCACUGAACAAACGGAGGAGGCUGAAGGGGAGGAACAUGGUGGUUUCCCCCUGAGCCUCCACAGGUACAGGUAACAUAAGAAUACACCUGAAAAUGGGGUGAAGGACUGGGUGUGUUCUGAGGCCCCAACUACAGCAAGGAACGGGUGGCUUUCUCCGCACGUGGACUUCCGUAACCCCCCCAAAUCAGUGCGAUUGGCCCCUACUUUUCUUGAGCUCCAGAUUCAUUUGUCCACCUGCUGCCCAGAGUCUCCAUGUGGAGAUACCAUACCAAACUAUCCAGAGCUGCCCUCACCGUCUCUCUCACAUGAUUCUGUCCCUCGGGUGGGCACCUGGCCACAGCCACAGGCCUGUGAGGUGCCCUCAUCCUCGCCCUUAUCUUCCAGAAAUGGCACGGAACUAGGUGUGGUCGAUGUUAAGUCCUGAAUGUCUCACAAGUCCUGUGUCUUCUGCCUCUGGGCUGUGGGUUUGAAUCCCGUUCAGCCAUGUGCUCCCUGUACCAUCUUGGGCAAGUGACCCUCGCUCUGCCUCUGUUUCUGCAUCUGUAAAAUCAGGGUAAUCAGCACACGCCUCCUACGGUGGUUUUGAGGACUGAGUUUUGUACCUCCUGAAGCGUCUAGAGCAGCAGGCACUAAGUCAGCAAUAGCUGCCUUGAUGAUGGUAUUAAACCCUUAGGACAGCAUUCAAGACUCCCCUCCCGGCCCCCUCCACACAUCCACACCUGACACACAGGGCACGCACUUCGUCAUUCUCUGACCGUGCCAUGCUCCAGGGCCUGUGGCUCCUUGUGCCUGGAUUGCACACAGCAAACCUUUUCCCCGGCUGGCAGUGAGCCCCUGAGGGCCACUGAGGGAGAAGACAGGGAAGCACCUCCUGAGCUGGCUCGUGAUUCACAGGUCACCCACAUUAGCACCUUCACUUGCAAAACCUCGCUGUGAGGCAGGUCUUCUUUUUGCCUUGCUUUUUGGGCAGGAAACUGCAGCUCAGUGAUUCUUCAGCUCCAAGAGCUGGUCGUGGAGCUGGAAUGAAGUCCAGGUGUGUGGCCUUCCGCACCGUCCGUGUGGCCUUUCACUGACUGUGCAAACCUCUCAUGUCGUUCAAGGGGAAAAACUAGAGGUCUUUGAGAGAGAGGACACGAAGAGUAUGUGGAAACCACUCCCUCAGUGGUGGGUUUGUAAUGUGUCCAUUUAGCUAAGCCGAAACGAGUUUCCAGGACUAAUGAAUUUGGGUCUCAAGUUGUCAGAGCUGCGAGGAGAAGCCAAGUGGCAGCCACAUGUAUCCUGGCAAGGUUUCUCUGAAUCUGGGAUCAGCCUGGGGAGCUCCCCAGUGGACUGCGCUGUCCCGUGGCCAGCCCCCAUUCUGGAAGAUGGAGGGCUCGGGGUGGCUCCACGGACUCCAGUGCUUCCUCAUGGGUUCCCACUUUCAGUCGGCCUUGACCUGCCCUGCUGACUCAGGGACAGUAUACGAGGCCUAAUCCCUCUGGCAAUCCUGCUGUGUCCCUCUGUGGUUGGUCCAGAAUUAGUUCAAUGGACAUUGGGUUACAUGGGUAAACAAGUGGUUGAAUAAAUCAAUGUUUUGGUUGCUUUGCAAUUCAAAUUGCAGGAGAACUAAAACUAAGGGAAGUCAUGUUUUCCAACCUCUCCUAAAGGACAGAUUAACGUAUUUAACAUGUUCUCCCCAAAGUCCCCUGUGGUCGCGGCUCUUUAAAGUAACAUAGAUGGCUCACGGUGUAGUGAUUAAACCACAAUCCGUAUGAGUUGAUGGUAAAGGGGUUGUGAAUUUUUAUGUGGUUUUGUGACUUUAUUUUAGGGUGUUGGUCCUCAUACACCCUCCUCCACGGGAGGGGCUAGGUGAUCCCCACAGGAAUCAGAUGUGCGUCCAUCAGACUUCUGCCUCGUGGCAGCCCUGUGGCUCUGGGCCACAGAGGAAUCUGAGAUGGAAGAAUGGCCGGCUGGGCAGCAACCACUCCUAUCAGGAAAUCUAAGCCAACGUUACGUCCAACUGAAAAAGCAAGCCAAGAGAACAAAAGCAGGUCUUGUGUAAUUUCCAGACUGCACUGUGGCUCCAAGCAGCUUUGUAUCACACAGACCAGUUGGCUGGUGACCGAGGCUCUGAGAGGCUCACCUGCUCCUCCCUCUCCCUGGCAGAUAUGCCCCCCCAGAGCCGCCAAGGAAGAGAACCAGGGAGGCCGGCGAUUGAGAAAGCUUGCACCAGGGCUGUGUGCACUCGGCCUUUUCUCCAGGGGUAAUCCUAACAUUUGGGCAGAUGCCUGGCUUUAGCCAAGAGCCUCGUCCAAGAACAUCAUGAUCUCAAUCCUUGCUGGCUCACUCUGCCUUUGGCCCCCCAGGAGCCUCCCAGGCGGCAGCAGGGAAGGGCACAGAGUAUCUCCUGACGCCCUGGGCCUCUCCUGGUUCCCAGCUUUGAGGAUGAAAGAGGGAGGAGGAACAGAGUUUGGCCUCAGGCCACCAGGGGCUGGUACCCCAGGGCUAGCUCGUGCUGUCUGGGAGAGUUAAACUGCUCAGAGCCUCAGUUUCCUCAAGUAUGAAAUGGGAGUGGCUCUGGCUGAGAUGUGUAUUUAGUGCCAGGCAGGCGGUGCUCUGUCAGUGGCAGCCUCACUUGGACAGUGGGACAGCAACAAGGCCGUGCAGUUAGUCAAGUGCAGGGGAAGAUGCUGUGGGGCCUCUGGGCAGAUUGAGUGCCGCCUAGAGGCCAGCCCGCCCUCCACCUGGGGCUUUCCCUGUUGGGAGUGACAGGAACACAAACCGGGGACAUGCAGAGGAAGGAAACUGACCAGAGUGUGUGGCACCUUUUUAUUUAGUCAGUCUUUAUUUAAAUGUGUGUUUUGAAAUAGCUUAUUAAAUAGGAUCUUCUCCAAGUUCAAUUCUCACAAUAUUUACAGUGAAUUUUGUGCAAACAUAUUUUGACUGUGAGCUUCUUGCUCCCCCCUUUCACGUUAAUAAUUUACAAAUUUGUCUCACACAAAACCCCAUCUACUUCAUUCAUGGCCUCUUAGGCUCUAGUUUUCUGUUUGACAGGUACUGAUCUAGGGUAAGGAUUUGUUGGCCAAGAGCUAAUUCACUCCCAGAGGAAAUAAAACAUUUUAUUUAUCAAAAAGGAAUUACAACAAGGCAUUGCUUUCCAAAUGGAAACAUGUGUCCUAAGAUGUUGCAGAACAGUAUUAGCAGCCAAAUAAAUCUCCAAUGAUUAUAGGGCUUCUCUCUCUCUUUUUGAAUGUUUACAGUCCUCUCUUUGAAUCAAAUCAGCAAAAUCAGAAAAGUCAAAUUCUAGGAGAGCCUGGACUGUCCGGGAAUGUUAUAAAAAUAAGCUGACUUCAGUCAGCUAAAGAACGAAGGUCCUCGAAUGCGCCGCCGGGUGGGGGUGGCCGUCCGCGCCGGCACUGGCCAGAGCUGCUGUGAGAGGUCCCACAGGCCCCUCUCCGUUGGCCUCAGGACUCCACGCUGGGCCCAGAACCACAUGGACCUGCGCCCCUGCCAAGAAGGGUGGACCCCUGCCAGGUAAUCCUUCACGUACAAAAGCGGCAGAGGGCACGGAGCCCAGAGGAGGAUCCCUGGAGAGGCAUCCUUCCCUCUCUGGUGGAGAAAUGCCCACUGAAGAACACGGCACGUUGUGUCAUAUAAGGUGUGGGUCCUGAUGGAAGGUGACCCCUCACGAUUUAGAAAGAUACGAAAAAUACACAUUAAUCAUUAUACCCCUAAUGUCUUGCAAAUAUAGCUUUAAGAUUUCAUUCCAUACACUUGAGGUCUAAAAACAAACCAUAACCUUUUUUGUUGUUGGCCCAUGCCUUUUUUUUUUUUUUUUAAA
Long non-coding RNA from Felis catus (domestic cat), 9193 nucleotides. RefSeq lists it as uncharacterized. The record is from RefSeq and is a predicted model, not a curated record. The transcript has 2 exons. NCBI's taxonomy places the organism in Eukaryota, Metazoa, Chordata, Mammalia, Carnivora, Felidae.